GCAGGGGGCAAGCGUUAUCCGGAAUUACUGGGUGUAAAGGGAGCGUAGGCGGCAUGGUAAGCCAGAUGUGAAAGCCUUGGGCUUAACCCGAGGAUUGCAUUUGGAACUAUCAAGCUAGAGUACAGGAGAGGAAAGCGGAAUUCCUAGUGUAGCGGUGAAAUGCGUAGAUAUUAGGAAGAACACCAGUGGCGAAGGCGGCUUUCUGGACUGAAACUGACGCUGAGGCUCGAAAGCGUGGGGAGCAAACAGGAUUAGAUACCCUGGUAGUCCACGCCGUAAACGAUGGAUACUAGGUGUAGGAGGUAUCGACCCCUUCUGUGCCGGAGUUAACGCAAUAAGUAUCCCGCCUGGGAAGU
RNAcentral lists this ribosomal RNA (356 nucleotides) under uncultured bacterium. Its description in RNAcentral is "bacterial SSU rRNA". It matches the Rfam family "Bacterial small subunit ribosomal RNA", at positions 527 to 881 of the family's 1533-position model. The record is from RNAcentral.